CUGCGCAGCCACGCACGCCGACGCAGCGCUCGUCGCGCCACUAGAGAGACGGAGAGCGGGCGGGACAAAAUUCUCGCGGCCUCCCGCCGUCGGAGGUACGUGCGCUCCUGUCUGCGCAAUGCUGGUUUCCUGCUCUGGAAGAGAAGGGACGUCGGCCGUCGGGAAGAAACCGUAGUAUCAGAUGAGUAAAAAUUUAGAAGACAGCCCCAAGAUCCAUGGUGUAAAGCGGCACUACUAGCAAAAUGAGGAUGGUGUGACUAAGACCUCGGUUUAUAGACCAAGAUAUGAGCAUGGUUUUUAGACACAGUGGUGACAGGACAUCUCAGAAGAAAAGACUAUAUUAAAAGAAGUUACCCAAUGCUGUUUUUACUGUAAGUCCUGUUUAAUUCCUAAGGAAAGUACACUGAGGGCCUAUGAUGUUAUAUUCUGUGCUUCAGUUCCACUUCAUGGAAUCUUCACAUUUUCCUAAACCAUAUUCAAACCUAUCAUAAUCUGAUUAAAAUGAAUAAAGAUUCUAAAAGUAAUUUAAAAAUCAUUUAAUACACAAAGUGGAAAACUAUAAUAUAAAAGCAUUUCACAUUUUUUAAAAACACAUAAUACCUUCUAAAUUAUUUAAUGAGGUGAUAGAUCCACAAUCCUUUAUCUGAAACCCUUAGGACAAGAUGUUUCAGAAUUAUGAAAUUUUUGGAUUUUAGAAAGGUAAUUCAGUGCAUAUACCAUACUACAUAAACACCCAGCAGGGUCUGUGGCAGCCCCAUCCCACUCCCAAUAAUCAAAUAUGUUAAUAUUUCCACAGCAAAAUAAAUGAAUAUUCACACUAAAUGGGAUAAAUAGAUUCAAUGUCAGUUCAGGUUAGAUUUUCAAGCAAAUGAGUUUUGUUACCAAGCUUAUGAAAAACCUUGUUUUCAGAGUUUUGAUUUUGGAAUUACAGAUAAGGGAGUGCAGAUCUUUAUAAAUUUGUAGGACAAGACAUGAAAAAUUCGUUAAACAAAUGACCCAUUUUUACAAAUGAAAAAACAACAGUUUUCAAACACAUUAUAAAUUAACAGGCAUCUUCUUGAUAUUAUUAAAUGUACAUCUUAAAUACAUAUACACACAGCACAUUUAACAAGAUGAGAAUCAACUUAUUAAAGGCACAGAUGCACAAUUCCUUCUAUAGGAAAGGGAUAUUAUCAAAUGUGCAGUAAAAUUAAAAUUAAGUCAACUCCUUAUGUUGCCAGGAAGAGCAUUUCUGAAUGCAACAAAAGGAGGUAGAGUUUAUUCUUCAUGAAAUACAGUUUUACUUGAGACCAAUCUCUCCCACAAAAACAGGCAAACAACUUUUACUUACAACACAUACAUUAGUUGAGGUUUUGUUUUCUGCAUAUCGAUGAUACUUUUGGCCUUAUGCCCAAAAUUUAGUGGUAAAAGAUGGUUUUUAGUCAGUUAAGUGUUUUAUCAUGUUUGAAGACAAAUGGAUUGCCAUGAUAUGCUUAAGUAGCUAUCAUAUUUAAACAAGUCCACUGACUUGUUUAAAAUUCUCUGUUCACGGGUUAAAAUUCUGUUUAGGGGUUAAAAUUUCCCAAAGUCGAAAUACCGUGCUUGUAAAAUCUUGCAUUUUUUCUGAUCAUAGCCAUUUCUUCCAUUUGUUGGUGUCUGAAGAGUAUUUUCAUGGGAGAAAAACAAAUUUCCUGCAUGUGCAGCAACAAUCUCCGUCAGUUUGGGCACACUGAAUAAGUAGCAAGUCAUUCUGUUAACCAACUCCAAUCAAGAUUCUAAAACCAGCAUGGAAAAAAUUAUAAUUAGAUGUUGACUUUAAACAGUAGGUUUAUGGGUGUUACUUUUUGCAAGUUUUCUGUGUGUUUGGACAUUUUAUAAUCAAAAGUUGAAAAAUCAAAGUAUAAGUUACAGUUAGUUUAAUUUUACCUUCUGUCCUGCCGAUUAAAAAAAAUAUUUCAGAAAAAAUAUUUCAGUUUUCAUAAAUAUUUGAAGUAAAUAAUGAAAGGAAAUACAAGCAAUUGACCUUGAGACUAACUGUAGUAAAAUUAACUCAAUAAACAUUUUUUGUGGUUUCUCUGAGUUUUAACAAAUCAGUAAUUCACAGUAACCAAAUCUUAAUAUUUCUAUUAAUUUUGACUGUGUUAACAUUAUUUGUUUUACGUACAGCUGUUAUUAUAUUUGAGUUACAGUACAAAUCCUGCCCCAUCUUAUUGAAGAAAAUUGAUUACUGAAGCAAAAAGGUACAAACCAUUCAAUUUCAGUGGUCACAUUGCAAAAAAAGUUCACCCUUCAUUUAAUUUGACCAAAAUGCUACUGCUGAAGAUUUACUAAUGACAUAAUCCUAGUAUAUCCAUGAAUAAGAGAAGAUUGGGAUCUGAGGUCAAAGAUAUAACUUAAAUGUCUUUUCUCUUUCUUCUGAGUUCUCCUUUUCCCCAUAUGCAUCCCAAAUGCCAGAGGUGGCUAGCAUGGAAAGUCAAAACAUACCCAUAUCCAUAUAAAACUUACCAUCAUUCUACUGCCCUGUUCCUCAUUUGCUUCAUGAAUAAUAGUGCUUAAAUGGCCAAGACAGUUCAAAUUUUCUUCUAUCAUUUGUACUAUAGUCUCCCUGUAUGAUGAAAAAACAAAGCCUUUUCAAAUGCAGCAAAGAGACAUACAAAUUUCCUCUACCUUCUGGUCUUCAGGGUCAGGAUAAUCACUGCCCCUCCUGCAGCCCUGCAACCCAGCACCCCAAUGCAGCUGAUUCCUAUGGUCUUCAGUUUCCUUAUCCCUCCCACCCAGAGGCAGAGUCUUGCUUGUUAAUGCAAGCUGUUGCUUCUGCCCAGCUUGAAUGAGAAGAAAUCCAUUAUAAAUGCAAUCUCAUUUUCCUCUGAAAUAUAAGCAGCACUUAAAUACAACUACCCUCCCCACUCUUGAAAAAUGCUAAUGGGGGGUGGAGUGGGAGAGAAAAUUGUAGUGCAGACAGAUGAAAAAUCUUUUUGUUUCUGGAAUAUUUUCCUUUCCUUAUAAGUAGUAAAAAUAUCAGUGUGCUUAUUACUCCAGAGACACAAAUAUAAGGGUGAAGAUAAAGAAGUACAAUCUGGUCUGCAAAGAUAAGGGAAGGUGAAAACUGGUUGGAAACUACAGAUGACAGCGAUGAAAAAGAAAACAAGCAAGCUGAUUUCUGAGGACAGCAGAAGAAAAUAGCAUCAUAAGGUAGCUGCCCAGAACCAACAAGAAUCUCUGGAAGUUUAUAUUUGAAGAAAAUCCUUAUUUUGGUUUCCACCUUCCCCACUUUCCUCUGCCAUUUGGCCUCUAUCCUUUACCUUUUACCAGCCCUCAGUCUCUACCUUACUAGAAUUAGUUCUAGGCCAUAAAUGAUAGCCACUAUAAGGUCAAAACUAAAUUCUAAUUCUAAAGCACGUAUUCAAAAGAUGAAAAAUUGAAUCCAACAGAUCCCACCUUGGUGGUUAAGUAUUAUGUGCACAUUGUAAUUGAAAUCAAUUUUACUUUAUAACGUAUUCCUACUGGAAAACAUUUAAAAUUCCUGUCCGACAUGCUUUUGCUAACAACCCAACCUCAAAUUAGAAAUGGACUGUAUAGAGGUGACAUUUGCAACCAUUAGCAUCCCCUAACCUAAAUGCCUUUAACAAAAGUAAAAAGGUUAGUAAUGUACUAAAUUUUAUUUGUUUCAACUCUGAGUAAUGGAAUAUUUUCUAAAGUCAAUUAUAUAGCCUGUGCUGUAGCUGUGGAUGUAUUACAUUGGGCCAAAUCUCUAACGAUCCCAAGAUACACCCUACAACUUGCUUUCUUUAAAAAAAUAAAAUACCUGAUAUCAGCUUUCCUUCCUGCCAUGUGCUUUUCUCUCAUAAAAGUAGAGUACAGAAUGUGCAACUGCAUGACCUCCUGAGCAGUGAUGUAACAUGGCUGCACUUCUGCAAAACUAAUUAUGGGCAGAGCUUCCAGGUAAUGCUGGUGCUGCUGUAGAGGUCUCCAUGAGUUGUGAGAAAAGCGACAAUACACAAGCUAGCAAAGAGCCACUGGCUCUGGAUACGGCACAUCUUAUGCUGAGAAAAAUAACAGAAAUGGAUAGUCAUUCAGCUUUUAGCAGGAGAGUAGGAAUUAAUAAAAGAAAAUAUAAGGCUUCACACUUGAGUUCUUAUUUGCAAAACUGAUUUAAGGCAUUUAAAAAAGCCUGAUUUUAGAAAUACCAAGUUAUAAAAUCAAGUAGAUUACACUCAAUAAUUCAUUAGAAAGGUGAUCAAGGACCCCAAAAUGAUAAAUCCAAAAGACAGCAUAACUUUUGAGAUAAAUGGUUAUGGAAGAAAUAGCUUGGGUAAAAGAAUUGCUAAGCCAGUAACAGAGAAAGAACUUAAAACUUAGAUUGAGCUACAUAAGUAACAUUUGCUGAUAUUUACUUUCCAUACACUUCACAUACAACAUCUAAUUGAAUUUUCAGAACAGUUCCCAUUUUACAGGUGAGGAAAUGGGAACAUUUAAAGAAUCAAGUUAAUUUGCCCAAGGCUAUUACAAAGGGACAUUAUUAUAAAAGGGACAGUCAGGAUUUAACCCUGGUGUAUAAAGUACUGAAGACUUUUUCUUAACCACUAUGCUCUACUCUACCUCAUUCCUACCACUGCUCUUGAAAACAACUAUCUAUUGUUGCAAAGUGAACCCACCCAUCUUGAGGAGUUACCACGCAUGACAGAGGAUGUUCACGUUCUGCUGAAUUUGGAGGAAGCCAUGCUGAUGCCUGAGGGGUUACUGCACCUUCUAGACUGGAUCCUACGAGGGACCGGGCAGAACUCUGUGUCUGAAGGGGGAAAAAGUAAAUAAGAUUACAGGCAAGCACCACAAUUGAUGCAUACAAUUUCCUACAAUGUUCCUAAGAUUUACACUUCUACCAGUGCUUAGAUGCACAACCACAAAACUAUCCUCACCUUUUUAUAAGUAUUUCUGUACAAAACUAUCCUGUCCUUGACCACCUUUCUUAACUAAAACCAAAUGUAUUUGCCCUUCUCAUUCCACUUUUGUUGGAGAAAAAAAAAAAA
Canis lupus familiaris (dog) is the source of this 5006-nucleotide long non-coding RNA. RefSeq lists it as uncharacterized. NCBI's taxonomy places the organism in Eukaryota, Metazoa, Chordata, Mammalia, Carnivora, Canidae. The transcript has 2 exons. The record is from RefSeq and is a predicted model, not a curated record.